Molecule: long non-coding RNA, 278 nt
Filed under: Phoenix dactylifera (date palm)
Lineage: Eukaryota; Viridiplantae; Streptophyta; Magnoliopsida; Arecales; Arecaceae
Description: long non-coding RNA (PDAC_LNC006888)
Source: RNAcentral
CCGUGGUCAGCCUGACGGCGUCCACGGUGCCCCGAGCCGGCGGCGUCCAUGGGCAAAAUAGGGAGAUCCCCCUUCGGCUCUUCUUCUCCGGUCAUCUUCGACCGAAAAUCAAACCGGUUCCACCCAUAGGAACCGGAUUUACUGCAGCCGAGGGCUCUUCCCAUGGAUCGGCCGGUACGUUUGCAUUUUAGGUUUACUAGAUUUAGGGUUUGAUUAACAAGGGAAGAAGAUCUGUGCUUGAAUGGAGGGAGGAGAUCUACAGCAUGAGCCGGCCGUAA